UUUUUUUUUUUUUUUUUUUAUAAACAAAAAAACUUAGUUUAUUGAUGAAUGUUUAUUUGCUGGAAGUUCUGCUUCAGCUUAUGGACUAAAAUCAAUUGUUUUUAAGCUUAAAAAAAUUAAUUAAAAUUGUAAGAUGAAUUGAGUAUAAGUAGAAUAUUAGCAUAGGGAUGCUCUUCUCUGGUUAAUUGAUUACUUAAAAAUCUGUAUUUUGCUAUUGUUGAGUUUUUGGCAUUUGAGUUUGAAGGUGAAGAAAAACCAAAAAAUAUGGACCCUAGUCCAGAUACUAUACGUUACUCUAAUGAACCACAUUAUUUGCACCACUAGUCUAAGGUUAAAUCACAUGUAUUCUAGCAUGAAUCAAACCAUAUAAUCAGAGUCUUAAGUGUACCUAAGAAUUGCAGAACUUUGUACUCCACCAAAUGCUUGAAAAAUGAGAGUUUUGUUAUGCUAAUCAAAGCAUCCCGAAGAACAAAUUUCCUUCACUGUUUUUUCCUUCAACUUUGUAACUUAAACAAACUUUUUUUUUCUUUCUUUUCACAACUGUAGGGACAUAACCACCCCACAUGGCUUUUGAUAUAUAUAUGUGUGUGUGUGUGU
This 597-nucleotide unclassified non-coding RNA is filed under the name Hevea brasiliensis (rubber tree). Lineage: Eukaryota; Viridiplantae; Streptophyta; Magnoliopsida; Malpighiales; Euphorbiaceae. The record is from RNAcentral.